AAAUUGAAGAGUUUGAUCAUGGCUCAGAUUGAACGCUGGCGGCAGGCCUAACACAUGCAAGUCGAACGGUAACAGGAAGCAGCUUGCUGCUUCGCUGACGAGUGGCGGACGGGUGAGUAAUGUCUGGGAAACUGCCUGAUGGAGGGGGAUAACUACUGGAAACGGUAGCUAAUACCGCAUAACGUCGCAAGACCAAAGAGGGGGACCUUCGGGCCUCUUGCCAUCGGAUGUGCCCAGAUGGGAUUAGCUUGUUGGUGGGGUAACGGCUCACCAAGGCGACGAUCCCUAGCUGGUCUGAGAGGAUGACCAGCCACACUGGAACUGAGACACGGUCCAGACUCCUACGGGAGGCAGCAGUGGGGAAUAUUGCACAAUGGGCGCAAGCCUGAUGCAGCCAUGCCGCGUGUAUGAAGAAGGCCUUCGGGUUGUAAAGUACUUUCAGCGGGGAGGAAGGGAGUAAAGUUAAUACCUUUGCUCAUUGACGUUACC
This 489-nucleotide ribosomal RNA is filed under the name Escherichia coli. RNAcentral describes it as "bacterial SSU rRNA". It matches the Rfam family "Bacterial small subunit ribosomal RNA", at positions 1 to 479 of the family's 1533-position model. Lineage: Bacteria; Pseudomonadati; Pseudomonadota; Gammaproteobacteria; Enterobacterales; Enterobacteriaceae. The record is from RNAcentral.